CUGGCUCAGGAUGAACGCUGGCGGCGUGCCUAACACAUGCAAGUCGAACGGGGUUAAGUGAAAUUUCGGAUGGACCUUAACUUAGUGGCGGACGGGUGAGUAACGCGUGGAUAACCUGCCUCACACUGGGGGAUAGCAGCUGGAAACGGCUGGUAAUACCGCAUAAGACCACGGCACCGCAUGGUGCAGGGGGUAAAAGAUUUAUCGGUGUGAGAUGGAUCCGCGUCUGAUUAGCCAGUUGGCGGGUAACGGCCACCAAAGCGACGAUCAGUAGCCGGCCUGAGAGGGUGAACGGCCACAUUGGGACUGAGACACGGCCCAAACUCCUACGGGAGGCAGCAGUGGGGAAUAUUGCACAAUGGGCGCAAGCCUGAUGCAGCAACGCCCGCGUGAGUGAAGAAGUAUUUCGGUAUGUAAAGCUCUAUCGGCAGGGAAGAAAGGCCCGAAAGGGAGAUGACGGUACCUGACUAAGAAGCCCCGGCUAACUACGUGCCAGCCGCUGC
RNAcentral lists this ribosomal RNA (503 nucleotides) under uncultured bacterium. Its description in RNAcentral is "bacterial SSU rRNA". It matches the Rfam family "Bacterial small subunit ribosomal RNA", at positions 19 to 518 of the family's 1533-position model. The record is from RNAcentral.